UAUCUUGAUUAUUUAUAUUAUCUUUAUUUUGAAAAUAUGUCUGAGUAUUAAACUGUUUUUUAUUUCGUUGAUUAUUUUAAGGUGUAGCCUUAGCCACAACGGCUAUACCCUAGAUCCGCGCCUGUAGCCAUUACAAAAAUAAUUUGCCGUAAUGAAAAGGCAAGGAAAACUUAAUAGAAUGCAUGCAUAUGGUUUGAAGCAGAGGCAGUUGCUCCAUCUUGUUCAAAAAAAGAUGGAUGGUUAUUUUGGCCAACUUGUGUUCAUGCAAUGAAAGCUACCUAUAAUAAUUUUCUAAUCAUUGAUUCCUGCAACAAGCUUAGAUAUAAAAUAGUUAAAGUAACUGUUUUUGCAUAAUUUUGUUUUUAUUUAUUUUACUAAAUAAUUACUAAUAAAGAAGUAUGUGCAGGAUUUAAUUUCACGACUAAAGAGGACUCUGAAGAAGAAUUAAAGUUCUGGUGGAUCAAAGAUCGAGGAAUGAUUUGGUUUUAACUGGUUUGCAUCUUAUGAACGAAGUGCAUAAUAUGAUUUAAAUUGAUGAUUUAUAGUUACACCUAUUGAA
Hydra vulgaris (swiftwater hydra) is the source of this 559-nucleotide long non-coding RNA. RefSeq lists it as uncharacterized. The record is from RefSeq and is a predicted model, not a curated record. Lineage: Eukaryota; Metazoa; Cnidaria; Hydrozoa; Anthoathecata; Hydridae.